Cricetulus griseus (Chinese hamster) is the source of this 519-nucleotide non-coding RNA. NCBI's taxonomy places the organism in Eukaryota, Metazoa, Chordata, Mammalia, Rodentia, Cricetidae. The record is from RefSeq and is a predicted model, not a curated record.
AUUAUCCAUGUGGUAGAAUGAGCUAUUGGUCUCAAUAUUUGAAGUGGACUUUUACUAUGCUGUUCAGGCUCAUCUCAAGCUCCUCAGCUACAGUAUCAUCCAUUGUACCCCAGGGAGCCCAGGGGUGGUCUCAGUACCUCAUCCCAGUCUACUCAUGUGAGAUCCUCAUCCGCAGGGUCAACUUCUGUGUCCCUUGACCUUGGACUUGGCAUGUGAUAUCUCUUGGCUGGUUGUUAUGGAAGUCUGGCCACAGUUACCAGAAGAAACAAAGAAUACCUUUUUCAUCAGCCAGAGGUGCCACUGAUUCCUGUGCAUCCCUGGGAAGAGGGCUGGGAGGAAGCCACAGAGAACUGUCCUCAUCUGCAGAGUGUGGGUGCUUCUUCCCACACAGCUCCAGCAAAGUGUCUGCAAAUGAACUAGCAAGACUGGAUUCCCAGAUUUGUGCAAUUCCAUGGUUAGGAGCCCAACCCAAGAAUCCAAAGUGGAGAUGUGGACAAAUAUAUACAUAGAUGAUACAGA